Molecule: long non-coding RNA, 3017 nt
Filed under: Brachypodium distachyon (stiff brome)
Lineage: Eukaryota; Viridiplantae; Streptophyta; Magnoliopsida; Poales; Poaceae
Description: long non-coding RNA (BDIS_LNC001593)
Source: RNAcentral
GGACGUGGUCAUGGAGGAGCCCAGUCUCAGGCAACCCGCAUGGCCUGCAUUCGCGGCAAGGAGCCACCGAACCCUGCUCCGGUGCCGGCGGGCGGCGGCCACGGGAGUGGAGCUGUCGGACGGAGGAGGGAUAGCACGCCCGAGCGGACGCAGUGGAGGGCGUGUGCCGCACAUAGGCCAGGGUAGCUUGGUGGGGGGUGGCAGCGGCAUUGGAGGAGGCGGGGAUGUAUUGUGCGGCGGCGUUCUUCGCCGGAACUGGGACAGAGAUCUGCGGCAGCUAUGAAGCCUCCAACUUCCGGUCCGAGGUGAGUCUCCAGCAUUCCCAAAUCUGGAUUAUGAAAUCCCUCUUACGGUGGUGUGUAAUCUGCCGUGAGCCUCCCCAAAUCUUCCAACUCCCUGUCCAAUUCAAGCUAAUCACAAAGACUGAUCUCUCUCAUGCCGUUAAUUCGCCGAGUGUGUGUAUUUACUGCAACCACACCAUUUUUUCCACCAAAUAAGCGGUCAAACACGCCACCGCCAGUAGUAACACACUUACGCACUGAAUCGGUCCAAGUCUAUAAGACUACAAAGCAGACUGCACUACAGGCCGCUGCCGACAAUCACAGCCAACAGUAAACACAAUCUCCAUCACCUAAUAAUCUUCUCAUGUGGAAAAAAAGAAUCUGACACGCACCUUUGUAGAAAAUCUACACAAUACAGUUAACACACAAACCGGCAUGCAUGAAAAUAUCUACACUGUACACACCAUAUACACAACUAUACGUGUGGACUUUGUACCUCAUGAAGAAAUCAGCAAGCCAGUAGCAAAAUGACUCCCAGGAAGCAUCAUCGCCACGGCCUCCUGUUCCUGCUCAUAUGGUCCUACUCCAUCAUAGAUGCUGCAUCGGUAGCCAAGCAUAAUACAAAUGGUAUCCUGAAUGGAACAUACAAAUAAUGAAAUAUUUGUACUUAAUUUUACACAUACAAGCAGUCAAGCACCUGCCUUAAAAAGACAUUACUACAAGUUUGACUGGAUAGCACUCCUGAUAAGACAAAUCGAUGCCAUACUUACUAAUGGAGACAAAUUCUCCAGUUUGCAAGUAAUCUACAAACACGAUAUUUUCCACCAGCACAAAGAGGUGCUGCUAACCUUGUGAUGGUUUCCUAAUGCGGAUUCCCCACCACAUUACAAUUGCAGCUGCAAAUCCGACACCAAAUCCAAGUCCAAUAAAGAGAAACAAUAUAAUAUCCAUCGGUUCCCUCUUCCAAGGAUGUGGCAUCAUGUUUGGUGUGGUGUCUUCGCACUCCUUGGACAACGGGGAUCCACACAGGCCAAUGUUCCCCAUGAAUGAGAGAUUGGAGUAUGUCUGGAAAUGACAUGAUCCUGGUAUUCUCCCAACCAACUGAUUGUAAGACAGGUUCAACACUGAGAGGAAGUCCAGCCAAGCUAACUCUUGUGGUAUCUCUCCGGACAGGUCAUUUGAAGAGAGGUCCAGUGACUCGAGUUGAUGUAGAGCACCGAGUUGGGUUGGAAUUGUUCCAGUGAGAGCAUUAUGUGACAUGUUCAGCUCACAAAGAAGAACAAGCUCUGCAACUGACUCGGGAAUGACACCAUUGAAUCCAUUAUCGGAGACAUCGAUGACUACAAGGGUCUUCAGAAUCUUGUUAAGUAUGACAACGUAUCCUUUGUAUGUGAUUUCAGCAGUAAACUCAUGUUCUCUCCCGUCCGCCAAAUAAAGACCAUGCUGGUUUGGCAUCAACGACGUGUCAUCCGUAGAUUUAGCCGUCAUAGAUUUCAAACUCUUCAACCACUUGUUUGUCAAUGUGCUAGAGAAAUUGUUUGAAGCCAAAGACAAAAUCCGAAGUUUCAUGAACUCACAAUUCUCUUCUGCCGUCCCUAAAACAGAAGUCCCGACCUUCCCAAAGAACUUAUUAGACUUGAGGACAAGGACUUGAAGUUCAGUAAGCGUACUCAUCCAACACGGAAAAGUAUCAUUGAUAUGAUUAUUUCCAAUGUCAAAAACCUGCAAGCUUCUACAAGCAACUAGAGAUCUUGGUAGUUGUCCUUCAAUUUGGUUGUCACUGAGGUCUAAUCCAUAGAAUCCACAACCUUGCUUGAUACGAUGCGGUAGUUCUCCUUGAAGUUUAUUUGCUUUCAACUUUAAUACCCUUAGAGAAUUUAAAUCCUCCAUUAAACAAGAUGGGAUGGGGCCACUUAGAUUGUUGUAAGAGAGAUCAAGGAGCGCUAGGUCCCUUGCAUCACAAAUUGAUGGUGGAAUUUCUCCGGAGAGAUUGUUUCCGGAGGCCUUGAGAUAUAUAACACCACUGAGUUGAGAACCAAAAUUAGUUGGGAUAGAUGAGAACUGAUUGUCUGAGCAAUCAUAAGAACUGGUGUAGGGUCCAGGUAUAGGCAUGGGCCCUUCCAAUAGGUUAGAACUGAGAUCAAAAAGUGAUAUGCCAAUUGGAAGAGCAUAGUCAUACCCUAUACUAUUGAAUUGGUUGUGCGAUAAGUUUAGGACCGAACGAUUGUCCCAAACCCAAUGUGGUAUAGCGCCAUGGAUUUGAUUAUCUGAGAGGUCAAGGUAAUAAAGCGUUUGGAGAUUCCUCAAGGAAUCAGGGAACUUGGAUAUGUUACAAGACGCUAGUCGCAAAGAGGACAACCAAUUCGGUAUGAGUAUAGAGUUAUGUUCCCCGUCUAUCACAGAAAGUCUGUUAUAGGAAAGACUCAGAUGAUACAGAUUUGGUAGUUCCAAGAAUGAACUGAGUUCCACUGUACCGGCGAAGUUGUUUGAGUUAAGAUAUAUGGUUUCUAAUUGAGUUAGAUUAAAUAUCUGUGGAGGUAUUGGACCAGAAAAGUUGCAUUUGUAAAGUGCUAACCACUCUAGUUUCUUGAGAUUACUUAUUGAAGAAGGUAUUUCUCCAAAUAAACCACAGUUAGAGAACUGGAGAUGAACUAAAGAAGUUAAUUUUGUGACCCAAGAUGGAAGUUUUCCUACUACAGCAGCUCCAGAUAUCUCUAACCAAUCUAAGGAUGUGAG